RNAcentral lists this ribosomal RNA (1461 nucleotides) under Cupriavidus sp. Its description in RNAcentral is "bacterial SSU rRNA". It matches the Rfam family "Bacterial small subunit ribosomal RNA". Lineage: Bacteria; Pseudomonadati; Pseudomonadota; Betaproteobacteria; Burkholderiales; Burkholderiaceae. The record is from RNAcentral.
UGCAGUCGACGGCAGCACGGGCUUCGGCCUGGUGGCGAGUGGCGAACGGGUGAGUAAUACAUCGGAACGUGCCCUGUAGUGGGGGAUAACUAGUCGAAAGAUUAGCUAAUACCGCAUACGACCUGAGGGUGAAAGCGGGGGACCGCAAGGCCUCGCGCUACAGGAGCGGCCGAUGUCUGAUUAGCUAGUUGGUGGGGUAAAGGCCCACCAAGGCGACGAUCAGUAGCUGGUCUGAGAGGAGCGAUUUCAGCCACACUGGGGGACUGAGACACCGGCCCCAGACUCCUACGGGGAGGCAGCAGUGGGGAAUUUUUGGACAAUGGGGGGCAACCCCUGAUCCCAGCAAUGCCGGCGUGUGUGAAGAAGGCCUUUCGGGUUGUAAAGCACUUUUGUCCGGAAAGAAAUGGCCUGGGUGAAUACCCCGGGGUCGGUUGCGGUACCGGGAGAAUAAGCACCGGCUAACUACGUGCCAGCAGCCGCGGUAAUUCGUAGGGUGCGAGCGUUAAUUGGAAUUUACUGGGGUAAAGCGUGGGCCGGGGGUUUUAUAAGACAGGCGUGAAAUCCCCGAGGUUUACCUUGGGAAUGGGGUUUUGGCUGUCAGGGCUGAGUAUGUCAGGGGGGGGGUGAAUUCCCAGUUUAAGCGUGAAAUUGGUUGGGGUUUGGGAGGAAUCCGGUUGGGAAGGGCGGCCCCUUGGGACUCCCUUGCGCUCAUGCACGAAAGCGUGGGGGAGCAAACGGGAUUGGUUCCCUGGGUGUCCCAGGCCCUAAACGAUUUCAACUAGUUGUUGGGGAUUCUUUUCUUCGUUACGUUAGUUAACGCUUGAGUUUGCCCGCCUGGGGGUUAGGUUCGCAAGUUUAAAACUCAAGGGAUUUGAGGGGGCCCGGCCAAGGGGGUGGAUGUUUUGGAUUAAUUCGAUGCAACGCAAAAAACUUUCCUUCCCCUUGCCAUGCCCUUAACGAAGAAGGGAGCAUUUAGUUGCCCGAAGGGGAAAGUGGACACGGUUGCUGCUUGGCUGUCGUCAGCUCGUUUCGUGAGAUGUUGGGGUUAAGUCCCGCAACGAGCGCAACCCUUGUCUCUAGUUGCUACGCAAGAGCACUCUAAGAGAGACUGCCGGGUGACAAACCGGGAGGAAGGGUGGGGAUGACGUCAAGUCCUCAUGGCCCCUUAUGGGGUAAGGGCUUCACACGUCAUACAAUGGUGCCGUACAGAGGGGUUGCCCCACCCGCGGGGGGGGAGCUAAUCCCAGAAAACGCAUCGUAGUCCGGAUCGUAGUCUGCAACUCGACUACGUGAAGCUGGAAUCGCUAGUAAUCGCGGAUCAGCAUGCCGCGGUGAAUACGUUCCCGGGUCUUGUACACACCGCCCGUCACACCAUGGGAGUGGGUUUUGCCAGAAGUAGUUAGCCUAACCGCAAGGAGGGCGAUUACCACGGCAGGGUUCAUGACUGGGGUGAAGUCGUAA